AACAAGGAUUCCCCUAGUAACUGCGAGUGAAGCGGGAAGAGCUCAAAUUUUGAAUCUGGCGGUCCUCGUGGCCGUCCGAGUUGUAAUCUAGAGAAGCGUUUUCUGUGCUGGACCGUGUACAAGUCUCCUGGAAGGGAGCUGUCGUAGAGGGUGAGAAUCCCGUCUUUGACACGGACUACCAGGGCUAUGUGAUGCGCUCUCGACGAGUCGAGUUGUUUGGGAAUGCAGCUCAAAUUGGGUGGUAAAUUCCAUCUAAAGCUAAAUACAGGCGAGAGACCGAUAGCGAACAAGUACCGUGAGGGAAAGAUGAAAAGGACUCUGGAAAGAGAGUUAAACAGUACGUGAAAUUGCUGAAAGGGAAACGCUUGAUGUCAGUCGUGUCGAUCGGGGAUCAACCUUGCUUCAUUGCUGGGUGUACUUCCUGAUCGAUGGGUCAGCAUCAAUUUCGGUCGUCGUACAAGGUCGGAGGAAAUGUGGCACUCUUCGGAGUGUGUUAUAGUCCUUCGUCGGCAUGCGAUGACUGGGAUUGAGGAACUCAGCAUGACCCCUCGAGGGUUCGGGGCUUCGGCCUACGUCUCGUGCUCAGGAUGCUGGCAUAAUGGCCUUAAGCGACCCGUCUUGAAACACGGACCAAGGAGUCUAACAUGCCUGCGAGUGUUUGGGUGGAAAACCCGAGCGCGUAAUGAAAGUGAAAGUCGAGACCUCUGUCGUGGAGGGCAUCGACGCCCGGACUUGAGCCUUUGGCGACGGAUCUGCGGUAGAGCAUGUAUGUUGGGACCCGAAAGAUGGUGAACUAUGCCUGAAUAGGGUGAAGCCAGAGGAAACUCUGGUGGAGGCUCGUAGCGAUUCUGACGUGCAAAUCGAUCGUCGAAUUUGGG
Molecule: ribosomal RNA, 878 nt
Filed under: Boletinellus rompelii
Lineage: Eukaryota; Fungi; Basidiomycota; Agaricomycetes; Boletales; Boletinellaceae
Description: partial 28S ribosomal RNA
Rfam family: Eukaryotic large subunit ribosomal RNA
Source: RNAcentral